RNAcentral lists this microRNA precursor (61 nucleotides) under Pelobates cultripes (western spadefoot toad). The record is from RNAcentral. Lineage: Eukaryota; Metazoa; Chordata; Amphibia; Anura; Pelobatidae.
UAGUACUGCAAUGUACACAUUGCAGAUUCUUAAAACUGCAAUAUUUUACAUUGCAGGACUA